GGUGGGGUUCCCGAGCGGCCAAAGGGAGCAGACUGUAAAUCUGCCGUCAUCGACUUCGAAGGUUCGAAUCCUUCCCCAACCACCA
Molecule: transfer RNA, 85 nt
Filed under: Escherichia coli
Lineage: Bacteria; Pseudomonadati; Pseudomonadota; Gammaproteobacteria; Enterobacterales; Enterobacteriaceae
Also listed under: 3 other names
Description: tRNA-Tyr
Rfam family: tRNA
About the family: Transfer RNA (tRNA) molecules are approximately 80 nucleotides in length.
Source: RNAcentral